Lucilia sericata (common green bottle fly) is the source of this 2145-nucleotide long non-coding RNA. RefSeq lists it as uncharacterized. The record is from RefSeq and is a predicted model, not a curated record. NCBI's taxonomy places the organism in Eukaryota, Metazoa, Arthropoda, Insecta, Diptera, Calliphoridae. The transcript is spliced from 4 exons.
UCAGCACAAACCCAAUAUACCCUCCCCACUAAAGUGGUGUAGGGUAUAACAAAUAAAAGUUCGUGUUACUGGAUUUUCACCAGCAGUACACAGAUUUGUGCUUAAAGUAAAUCGAACACCUACAAAAAUAUUUGGCUGUUGGGGCAAAAAGAAAAAUUGACAUCUAACUUAACUAUUAACACGGGUUACACCUCUAUAAUUUUCCCUUUCCGGAGAAGAUACUUAACAUCCACAUCUGGCAUUUCUCCCUGAAAUUCUUUUAAGGAUAAAAGAUUCAGAGAUCGUGUAAUAUCUCUUUACCGAGUAAACGCAGCUAUUUUACGGGAAGUACUUAUUGUGUUUAAUCAAUAAUAUGAAUAUUUACUUUGUGAUAUUUUCUGUUUCCAUUUCAGAUUUCCUAUUAAUAAAGUGGACAAGUUAUCAAAUACAACACAGAUUCUACAUCUUUAUUGCACUCAAGUAUAUCUUAUCCUAAACACGAAUAUUACUACAUACAUACAUACUACAAGCAAUCUGGAAGGGAACCCACAUUGUGUCACAUGCGAAAUGUACUUCUGACAUAUUAAACAAAUGGUCACAAGUAGAUAAGGAAUUCAAUUAUAUCCAAAAACAGUGUGUGAAAAUUUCUCCUUAAAAAUUGACUCCGUGUUUGCAGAUAGCAUAAAGGAACAAUGUUGUAAACAUUUAUCCCAAAAUAUGAAGUAUAUAGGUAGGAAUCGAACCCACCACCUCCGGUCUAACAGACUAGAACACUAACCUACCGGAGGCCAAUGUGUGCGUGAAAAUGGUCGUUGUAUUGGUAUUUUUUUACCUUAUUUUACUGUCAACCUUUUACAACCGUCUUUUUAUACCGUCAACAAGAACGUGUACAAGAUUUAUCAUACGAGACUUUCGACGAAGAAUUAUUAUUGAUGUCUUAUGUGGGGGAUUGCUAGAUCCUCUAUCGGGACCCUCCCAUUGGCGAAUUGGGGACCUUCGACCUGUUUGUAAAAAUAAGUCGGAUACCGGGGAAAUAAAAUACCUGGGGUGACCAAAAUCUAGCCUAAGGUACUGCAGCCGGUACCUUAUAGUUCAUGGGACGAAACAUACAAUAAACUUAAUAAUAUAGCAAUGAGGGAAAUUGGAUGCAAACAAAAGGAAUGAAGGAAAAUAUGGAUAUCAAACGAAACCUGGAGACUUAUUCAGGAGAGAAAUGACCUGAAGAAAAACAUUAUGAAUAAUCGAUCAAUUAUGGAACAAUAUAAGGUUAUAGCAAAGGCCGUUAAAACCUCAGCUAGGAAGGACAAAAGGAAAUACUUCCAAAGCAUCGCCAGUGAAGCCGAAACUGCAGCAGGGGCAAACAACAUGCGAGAACUUCUCCAGCUAAUCGGGCGCCUGAGCAAACAGAACAUGAACCACAACCAUGUGGUGAGGGAUAGGGAAGGUAACCUCCUUACAAACGCAGAAGACCAGAUUAAGCGAUGGAGGCAACACUUUGAAACAGUCAGCAACAUUACGACCAAUGACGACGAGGAAGGUAUGGAAAUUCCUGUAACGCAAUCAUCCAAUAACAAAAUACAGUUCGAUAUUCCGGACAUAGAGGAAAUAAAAUCCGCCAUUUUAAGAUUGAAAAGGAAUAAAGCCCCAGGAGAGGAUGGCACAAAACUUGGUGCUCAACACAAAUAUCCCAGAUGACAAGUAGUAUAGCACAGAGACUGCAAGUAUUUAUAAAUAAAUGCUUACGCAUAAUAUGUAAAAUAUUCUGGCCAGACAGGAUCUCAAAUACCGACUUACUUAUGCUGACGAAAGAGGACACCAUUACACGGCAAAUAGCAAGACGAAAAUGGAAGUGUAUAGACCAUGUUCUACGUAAACCAGCCAAUAGCAUAACACGAGUGGCUCUAGAAUGGAACCCCCAGGGGAUCAGGCGCCCAGGCCGCCCUAGGAUCACAUGGCGCAGAACAAUACUAAAGGAACUCGGACAAAUCAAUAAAACUUUUGAAGAAAUUAAAACAUUAUGUAAUGAUAGAACAAGUUGGAAUUUUCUUGUAGAAGCCCUAUGUUCCCAAGUGCAAUAAAUAAAGGAAAAAAAUGUUCAACACAUUUGAUAUAAAACCUUAAAAAACGUAUUUUUUUACUCAUUACUUAAAACAUCUUUAAAAACUG